AAAAAGAGAAACCCUGAAUUUCCGUGUUCAACAUUUGACCGUCCGUCUUAUUUGAAAAAAAUAUAAAAAAAAUUAAAAAGACAAGUCACGUAUAAAGUAUUAAUCAUGUUUUAUCAUCUAACAAUAAUGAAAAUACUAAUUAUAAAAAAUUCAUAUAAGACGGACAGUCAAACAUUGGACACGGAAAUCCAGGGUUUGUUUUUUU
This 205-nucleotide microRNA precursor is filed under the name Oryza sativa Japonica Group (Japanese rice). Its description in RNAcentral is "MIR812 microRNA precursor family". It matches the Rfam family "MIR812 microRNA precursor family". The record is from Rfam by way of RNAcentral. Lineage: Eukaryota; Viridiplantae; Streptophyta; Magnoliopsida; Poales; Poaceae.